RNAcentral lists this ribosomal RNA (497 nucleotides) under uncultured bacterium. RNAcentral describes it as "partial 16S ribosomal RNA". It matches the Rfam family "Bacterial small subunit ribosomal RNA", at positions 28 to 507 of the family's 1533-position model. The record is from RNAcentral.
GAUGAACGCUGGCGGCGUGCCUAAUACAUGCAAGUCGAGCGAACAGACGAGGAGCUUGCUCCUCUGACGUUAGCGGCGGACGGGUGAGUAACACGUGGAUAACCUACCUAUAAGACUGGGAUAACUUCGGGAAACCGGAGCUAAUACCGGAUAAUAUAUUGAACCGCAUGGUUCAAUAGUGAAAGACGGUUUUGCUGUCACUUAUAGAUGGAUCCGCGCCGCAUUAGCUAGUUGGUAAGGUAACGGCUUACCAAGGCGACGAUGCGUAGCCGACCUGAGAGGGUGAUCGGCCACACUGGAACUGAGACACGGUCCAGACUCCUACGGGAGGCAGCAGUAGGGAAUCUUCCGCAAUGGGCGAAAGCCUGACGGAGCAACGCCGCGUGAGUGAUGACGGUCUUCCGAUCGUAAAACUCUGUUAUGAGGGAAGAACAAAUGUGUAAGUAACUAUGCACGUCUUGACGGUACCUAAUCAGAAAGCAACGGCUAACUACGUG